UACGGGAGGCAGCAGUGGGGAAUAUUGCACAAUGGGCGAAAGCCUGAUGCAGCUAUGCCGCGUGUAUGAAGAAGGCCUUAGGGUUGUAAAGUACUUUCAUCGGGGAGGAAAAAACAAAACUAAUAAUUUUAUUUCUUGACGUUACCCGAAAAAGAAGCACCGGCUAACUCCGUGCCAGCAGCCGCGGUAAUACGGAGGGUGCUAGCGUUAAUCAGAAUUACUGGGCGUAAAGAGCACGUAGGUGGUUUUUUUAAGUCAGAUGUGAAAUCCCUGGGCUUAACCUAGGAACUGCAUUUUGAAACUGAAAUACUAGAGUAUCGUAGAGGGAGGUAGAAUUCUAGGUGUAGCGGUGAAAUGCGUAGAUAUCUGGAGGAAUACCUGUGGCGAAAGCGGCCUCCUAAACGAAUACUGACACUGAGGGUGCGAAAGCGUGGGGAGCAAACAGGGAUUAGAUA
This 455-nucleotide ribosomal RNA is filed under the name uncultured bacterium. RNAcentral describes it as "bacterial SSU rRNA". It matches the Rfam family "Bacterial small subunit ribosomal RNA", at positions 340 to 784 of the family's 1533-position model. The record is from RNAcentral.